RNAcentral lists this ribosomal RNA (253 nucleotides) under uncultured bacterium. RNAcentral describes it as "partial 16S ribosomal RNA". It matches the Rfam family "Bacterial small subunit ribosomal RNA", at positions 524 to 776 of the family's 1533-position model. The record is from RNAcentral.
GACGGAGGAGGCAAGCGUUAUCCGGAAUUAUUGGGCGUAAAGCGUCCGCAGGUGGCGAUUCAAGUCUGCUGUCAAAGGUCGGGGCUUAACCCCGGGAAGGCAGUGGAAACUGAAUAGCUAGAGUGCGGUAGGGGCAGAGGGAAUUCCCGGUGUAGCGGUGAAAUGCGUAGAGAUCGGGAAGAACACCAGUGGCGAACGCGCUCUGCUGGGCCUGCACAGACACUGAGGGACGACAGCUAGGGUAGCUAAAGGG